Microcebus murinus (gray mouse lemur) is the source of this 1288-nucleotide non-coding RNA. The record is from RefSeq and is a predicted model, not a curated record. Lineage: Eukaryota; Metazoa; Chordata; Mammalia; Primates; Cheirogaleidae.
CACCGCCCCCAUCGCACAAGGCCUGCCGGCUGGGGACACUCCCCCUGCCCCCGAGUGACCUAGCAUCCCAGUCCCAAGACGCUGGUGGGGGGCGGGGGGCGCAGGAGUGUCCCCCGUACGAGAUGGCCCCAGACCAGGUGUGCCAGAGCACAGUUUCCAGGCAGGCUGCAGGGGCGCAGGCCCUCCGGGAAGGGCAGGGUUAAGAGUGCAUUCCAGCUGCCGGGGAAGAAGGGGGGCGGGGGAGGGGAGCGCGGAGAAGAGAAACAGACCCGGUCUGUCGGAGACACAAAGCACGGUUCACAAAGGGGCCCGAGAGGGGCGAAGGGGGCUGCCCAGGGCACGGCUCAUCCCCACACCUGCGCGGGGGCUGGGGGAAGAAUGUGGACCGCGCAUUCCUCUGCAGGGGCCAGCCAGGGAGAGCUGCCUACGUCGGGGCUGGGUGAGGGGCUCAGCUGCCCGGCACCCCAAAGGAAGGGGUCAAGGGAGCAGUCCCGACCCGGCAAGGGGUGGACAGUGGAGUACCUGGAGGAGUAGGAGGAGGGACGCGAGAGGCCCACUGGGGAGCCCCAUGGCUGGAGAGAGAGGAGCGAAGAAGCUGGCGCGACGGCUGGCUCGUGCUCCGCUAAGCUCUGCGCGCCCCUUUGAGCACGGCGGCCCGCGGGCGCUAGCGGGAAGAGGCCAGGUGAGCGCAGCUACAAGCGGGGGAAAAAACGGAGACGCAUCUGAACCCGACUGAAAACAGAGGCUCCUCAUUCAUGCUCCCCGGAGGCGCCCUCUUGCCCCAAAGCUUUGAUCCACCCCACACCCGGCGACAGCGGGGGCCGCCCCCUGCCUCCUUCACCACCUCCCGUACCAGCCCGCGGUGAGGAUGCGGGGUUGAAUACUGGCAGUGACGUCCCGAGGGACCGCCUUACAGAAUCUGAAACAACUUGCCUGAGAAUCAUGACCUUUCACAGGUUAGGAGAGAAGUUCCCAGAGUUUGGAAGCGGUAGUGGCUCCAGAGGGUGCGAGGUAGGGGGUGGUUAUUAGCCCCGUAAUCUCCAACGCCCCUCCCCCCAAAUGUAAAUAACCCUCUCUCAACUAUGUAAACAAAGGCAAUUUUUAUAAACGCAGUUGCUUUUAUUAGUCUGAAAUACUGCAUACAAUCAAAGUAAAAACUGCGUGCUGUGCAAAGCAGCCUUCAGUGAUUCUCCCUUGGAAAACAGCUCUCCUACACCCUUCUGGGAGACAAGCGCAGCGCUGGGAUUCCUUCCUCUAUUCUACGUUACUCUCAUCCCACUACUGUGGA